UGCAAGUCGAACGAACUCUGGUAUUGAUUGGUGCUUGCAUCAUGAUUUACAUUUGAGUGAGUGGCGAACUGGUGAGUAACACGUGGGAAACCUGCCCAGAAGCGGGGGAUAACACCUGGAAACAGAUGCUAAUACCGCAUAACAACUUGGACCGCAUGGUCCGAGCUUGAAAGAUGGCUUCGGCUAUCACUUUUGGAUGGUCCCGCGGCGUAUUAGCUAGAUGGUGGGGUAACGGCUCACCAUGGCAAUGAUACGUAGCCGACCUGAGAGGGUAAUCGGCCACAUUGGGACUGAGACACGGCCCAAACUCCUACGGGAGGCAGCAGUAGGGAAUCUUCCACAAUGGACGAAAGUCUGAUGGAGCAACGCCGCGUGAGUGAAGAAGGGUUUCGGCUCGUAAAACUCUGUUGUUAAAGAAGAACAUAUCUGAGAGUAACUGUUCAGGUAUUGACGGUAUUUAACCAGAAAGCCACGGCUAACUACGUGCCAGCAGCCGCGGUAAUACGUAGGUGGCAAGCGUUGUCCGGAUUUAUUGGGCGUAAAGCGAGCGCAGGCGGUUUUUUAAGUCUGAUGUGAAAGCCUUCGGCUCAACCGAAGAAGUGCAUCGGAAACUGGGAAACUUGAGUGCAGAAGAGGACAGUGGAACUCCAUGUGUAGCGGUGAAAUGCGUAGAUAUAUGGAAGAACACCAGUGGCGAAGGCGGCUGUCUGGUCUGUAACUGACGCUGAGGCUCGAAAGUAUGGGUAGCAAACAGGAUUAGAUACCCUGGUAGUCCAUACCGUAAACGAUGAAUGCUAAGUGUUGGAGGGUUUCCGCCCUUCAGUGCUGCAGCUAACGCAUUAAGCAUUCCGCCUGGGGAGUACGGCCGCAAGGCUGAAACUCAAAGGAAUUGACGGGGGCCCGCACAAGCGGUGGAGCAUGUGGUUUAAUUCGAAGCUACGCGAAGAACCUUACCAGGUCUUGACAUACUAUGCAAAUCUAAGAGAUUAGACGUUCCCUUCGGGGACAUGGAUACAGGUGGUGCAUGGUUGUCGUCAGCUCGUGUCGUGAGAUGUUGGGUUAAGUCCCGCAACGAGCGCAACCCUUAUUAUCAGUUGCCAGCAUUAAGUUGGGCACUCUGGUGAGACUGCCGGUGACAAACCGGAGGAAGGUGGGGAUGACGUCAAAUCAUCAUGCCCCUUAUGACCUGGGCUACACACGUGCUACAAUGGAUGGUACAACGAGUUGCGAACUCGCGAGAGUAAGCUAAUCUCUUAAAGCCAUUCUCAGUUCGGAUUGUAGGCUGCAACUCGCCUACAUGAAGUCGGAAUCGCUAGUAAUCGCGGAUCAGCAUGCCGCGGUGAAUACGUUCCCGGGCCUUGUACACACCGCCCGUCACACCAUGAGAGUUUGUAACACCCAAAGUCGGUGGGGUAACCUUUUAGGA
This 1426-nucleotide ribosomal RNA is filed under the name Lactiplantibacillus plantarum. RNAcentral's name for it is "bacterial SSU rRNA". It matches the Rfam family "Bacterial small subunit ribosomal RNA". The record is from RNAcentral. Lineage: Bacteria; Bacillati; Bacillota; Bacilli; Lactobacillales; Lactobacillaceae.